AUGUUAUAAGGAGAUAAAAGUGAAAAUGAAACGACAAAGGAAAUGAGCCAGAAAAUCAGACCUCUGGACAAUUAAAAUUCAGUGUCCAAGUCAAACCAGUGACAAUCUUUUAGGUAGAUUGUAUAAAUUCAGCUUAUUGUAGAUUUUAAAAGAAAACAAUUUUGAAGUUUCUUAUCACCAGGAACAGCUGCUAGACCUCCAAAUGGAACUUCCUAAUGAGUGUGGAAACAAAAUCUGUUUCUUUAUUUCCCAGAUACCCCGUAUUUGCCUGGCUACCAACCAACACUGACCAGCUGCUGCUCUCUAUUCUCCAGCCACCUGGUCUUACUGCUGACAUUUGAGUUUGGAAAGAGUAUGUGCUUCUUUCUAAAUAUUCCAGAUAUUAUCCCUUAUUUGCACUGUAGCUGGCUUCUGGAUUGACUCUAAUAGAAAAUGUCAAAAUCUCCCUAGUCUUUCUUGAGACACAAUGAAGUGCUUGGAGGGUGUCAUUGAGGAGACUGGCAGUCAUUGUCCCUUCCUUGUUCUGUGUUUGUCAGUAGUGUGGAGAUAGAGAAACUUAAAUCUACAUUUGCAAGACCCUUUCACAAGGAGGAUUCUUGAUGUAAUAUAGUUUAUCCAGUUAAGUUGAAAAAGGAAAGGAAGCAGAGCUAUACAUUUGCAACUGCUGCUAUGACUCCUGUAAAGUUUGGUCAGGAAGCCUCUGGGAUUUUCUGCAGCUGCGCUUUAGUUGGAGAUCAAUUACAGAGCCAUCGUGAAAAUCAUCAGGUGAUGGAAGUUUCAGUGAAUAGUCAUCAGGUAUUGAAAAUGUAGAUUUAAGCCUUCUCAAUCUCCACACUACUGACAAACAAAGAAGGAAAGAAGAAUGGCGGCCAUAGUAUCCUCCAUGAGACCCUUCAAACACUUCACUGUCUCAUCAAGUGUGUGAAUUGAGAGGCAGGAUGUGGUAGCUGAAUAUCGACUUUCUGAUUCCUGGACAGAAGCUAGGGCUGUGUAUUUGUGGAUCCAGCAAUUCCUUGGAGGUUUACGCCCACCAUAUGCAGGGCUUCAGGAGGAAGAAAGCCUUUCUAGUGGAGGUCAUUAGCAUCACUGGAGGUCAACAGUAGCUGCUGAGGGAGAGACUGACCCAUCUCAAGAAGGAAAAUUGUGUGGAGCCACAAGUGAGAUUUGAAUUCAUGUGUGGACCUGGAGCUUCUGAAAGAUAGAGAAGAUUUUUCCGACUGAAACAACAUAUUAAAGGCCAAGGGCAUCCCGAAAUCUCAGAAGAAAACUAUAGCCUGUUGGAAAAUGAGAACUGGACUCUUAUUCUGCUCUGCAUCUGUGUAGAUGAAGCCCCGACACACAGCCUAACGGUUAAUGACUUCUUGAAUCUCACUGCUGCUGCGCUCCAUUCCCUGGCUGCAAAAUGGAGAAAGCACCUGGAUCCACAGUGAUGACAUCUGUCUGACCUAGCAUUUCUCCACCUGCCAUCUCUGACUGACCUUGGCCAUGUCUUUUGGAUGGCUUGGAUGCCACACUCUGCUGUACACUGUCACUCACCAAUCUCACCACUUUGAAUGCUAACCUGAACUCUGCUUGAGUUUGCCUCAUCCCUUGCCCUUUACUAGACUAUUCAUUCAGCUAAAGCAAGAGUAACAACUGUCCUUUCCACAGUUUUUGCUUCUGCUGAGUCUCUGUUGGAAAACAUUCAACAUCCUUAUACCUAAAUCCCCUCAUGUUAUGGACAACAUCUAAGCAAUAAUAAGCGUAAUAGAUAAAAUGAAGUAUCUUAUUAAAUUCAUUAAUUACCUGGUUGAGAAUAGGAUGCUGAAAUAAAAGAAAUCAUGUGUUUUUCUGCUUGUUUUUUUGGGUUUUUUUGUUUUUAUAAGAAAGAGGAACAGUUUCAUGAGAAUCUUCCCAGAAUGGGAAAUUUUAGUGACUUAGCAAAAUUGGGUGCUUGAGCAAUCUGGUGGCGGUAUGAUGUCAGGGGUGUGGAAGAGAACAGACACAAAUGCGCUGAUGAGUAAAUAGAGUUGAUGCAAUGGACAAUACUGAACAUCUAUCCUUAAGCUCUUUUCCAAUGUUUCCUGGGACUCUGGUCAAAACUUCAAAUAAAUCUGCUUUAAAAGUCCCAGUAAGAAAUCUUCCUCUCUCUGCAAAUGGAUGGCUGUUGUCCACUUCUAGGAGACUGUAAUUUAACUCCAUAGAAAAGGUCAAACAAACAUACUCUGAACUGAAGGACACCAGUCCUCAGGUGCAAGCAGGAUUCCUGUACUGAAAAAAAAUAGAUGGACAAGAACAAUUGCAUACUGAAUACUGACACUCUCAGUGGUCUUGUCCAACUAGGUUCCCAGAAUUCUGCCAGCUCAUCUCUCCCAAGACCUGGAAGGUUAUUCUCUGAAGACUCGGACCAACCAAAGGGGAAAAAGCUCAUUAUUCAUGUGUGUAGAUUAGUGAUCAUGGUUAUCUUUGGAUUAUAUAGUGCUUUAUACUUUUCUGUAUUCUUCCCAUUUUCUAUAAUAAGCAUGUAUUUAUUCAUCUUUAAUCAUAAAAAUUAAUAUUCAUGAGUAAAUACUUCUGGGCACUAUGCUAAGCAACUUAAAUUCAUUAUCUCUUUUAAUUCUCACGGUAAUCUUAGAAGUUAGGUAUUAUUUAAUUGUCACUUAAUAAUUGAGGAAACAUGGUCCUAGAGGUUAAAUAAUUGUUCACCAUCAGGUAACUAAUAACUGACUGACUUAGAUUUGAACCCAGUCUGUCUGGCUCCAAGCCAGUGUUGUGACUCAGUACCUUAAAAUGCCUCAAACAAUUUUAAAACGUUUUUCAAAGGAGGGGUUUCUAAACUCCUCAAAUUAUCCAAUCUCUUUAUUUUCAUAUCUUGCUCUAAUAAGCAUCAAAUUAUAUUUCAUAGCCAUUUCUUAUUUCUCCAGUUUCUGAUCUCAUAAUUUGUUUUAUUGUUUGUUUGUUUAUGCCCAGCUACAUCCUUUGAACAUGAUGUUUGAUACCUGACUCUGCUUUAAUUGAUAUAAAUGGUCAGAAGUGCUGUGGGGCUUUGGUAACACCCCUUAGGCAAUGUGUGGAGA
Molecule: long non-coding RNA, 3056 nt
Organism: Equus caballus (horse)
Lineage: Eukaryota; Metazoa; Chordata; Mammalia; Perissodactyla; Equidae
Source: Ensembl